This 539-nucleotide ribosomal RNA is filed under the name uncultured bacterium. RNAcentral's name for it is "bacterial SSU rRNA". It matches the Rfam family "Bacterial small subunit ribosomal RNA", at positions 354 to 885 of the family's 1533-position model. The record is from RNAcentral.
UGAUGGAAUUUUCCGCAAUGGGCGAAAGCCUGACGGAGCGACGCCGCGUGCGUGAUGAAGGCCUUCGGGUCGUAAAGCGCUGUCGGAGGGGACGAACCCCCGCGGGAUUAAUACCCCCGCGGACUGACGGUACCCUCCAAGGAAGCCCCGGCUAACUCCGUGCCAGCAGCCGCGGUAAUACGGGGGGGGCAAGCGUUGCUCGGAAUUAUUGGGCGUAAAGGGCGCGUAGGCGGCCUGCUAAGUUGGUUGUGAAAUCCCCCGGCUCAACCGGGGAACUGCGACCAAUACUGGUGGGCUUGAGUGCAGGAGGGGAGAGCGGAAUUCCCAGUGUAGCGGUGAAAUGCGUAGAUAUUGGGAGGAACACCUGUGGCGAAGGCGGCUCUCUGGACUGCAACUGACGCUGAUGCGCGAAAGCUAGGGGAGCAAACAGGAUUAGAUACCCUGGUAGUCCUAGCUGUAAACGAUGGGCACUUGGUGUGGCGGGUGUCGAUCCCCGCCGUGCCGAAGCUAACGCGUUAAGUGCCCCGCCUGGGAGACGG